Molecule: unclassified non-coding RNA, 345 nt
Filed under: soil metagenome
Description: partial contains 5.8S ribosomal RNA, internal transcribed spacer 2, and large subunit ribosomal RNA
Rfam family: 5.8S ribosomal RNA (bases 1-120)
Source: RNAcentral
GAUGAAGAACGCAGCGAAAUGCGGUACGUAAUGUGAAUUGCAGAAUUCAGUGAAUCAUCGAGUCUUUGAACGCACAUUGCGCCCCCUGGUAUUCCGGGGGGCAUGCCUGUCCGAGCGUCAUUGCUGCCCUCAAGCACGGCUUGUGUGUUGGGCCUCCGUCCUCCUCCCGGGGGACGGGCCCGAAAGGCAGCGGCGGCACCGCGUCCGGUCCUCGAGCGUAUGGGGCUUCGUCACCCGCUCUUGUAGGCCCGGCCGGCGCUUGCCGACACAUCAAUCUUUUUUCCAGGUUGACCUCGGAUCAGGUAGGGAUACCCGCUGAACUUAAGCAUAUCAAUAAGCGGAGGA